Molecule: ribosomal RNA, 477 nt
Filed under: Ilyonectria sp.
Lineage: Eukaryota; Fungi; Ascomycota; Sordariomycetes; Hypocreales; Nectriaceae
Description: eukaryotic LSU rRNA
Rfam family: 5.8S ribosomal RNA (bases 113-266)
Source: RNAcentral
GUGACAUACCUAUUUGUUGCCUCGGCGGUGCCUGUUCCGACAGCCCGCCAGAGGACCCCAAACCCUGAUUACAUUUAAGAAGUCUUCUGAGUAAACCGAUUAAAUAAAUCAAAACUUUCAACAACGGAUCUCUUGGUUCUGGCAUCGAUGAAGAACGCAGCGAAAUGCGAUAAGUAAUGUGAAUUGCAGAAUUCAGUGAAUCAUCGAAUCUUUGAACGCACAUUGCGCCCGCUAGUAUUCUGGCGGGCAUGCCUGUCCGAGCGUCAUUUCAACCCUCAAGCCCCCGGGCUUGGUGUUGGGGAUCGGCGAGCCUCCGCGCCCGCCGUCCCCUAAAUCUAGUGGCGGUCUCGCUGUAGCUUCCUCUGCGUAGUAGCACACCUCGCACUGGGAAACAGCGCGGCCACGCCGUUAAACCCCCAACUUCUGAACGUUUGACCUCGGAUCAGGUAGGAAUACCCGCUGAACUUAAGCAUAUCA